GACGAACGCUGGCGGCGUGCUUAACACAUGCAAGUCGAACGGUGAAGGCGGAGCUUGCUCUGCCGGAUCAGUGGCGAACGGGUGAGUAACACGUGGGCAACCUGCCCCUCACUUCGGGAUAACUCCGGGAAACCGGGGCUAAUACCGGAUACGACCUCCUUGGGCAUCUUUGGAGGUGGAAAGUUUUUCGGUGAGGGAUGGGCCCGCGGCCUAUCAGGUUGUUGGUGAGGUAGUGGCUCACCAAGGCGACGACGGGUAGCCGGCCUGAGAGGGCGACCGGCCACACUGGGACUGAGACACGGCCCAGACUCCUACGGGAGGCAGCAGUGGGGAAUAUUGCGCAAUGGGCGAAAGCCUGGCGCAGCAACGCCGCGUGCGGGAUGAAGGCCUUCGGGUUGUAAACCGCUUUCAGCAGGGAAGAAGCCGCAAGGUGACGGUACCUGCAGAAGAAGCACCGGCUAACUACGUGCCAGCAGCCGCGGUAA
Molecule: ribosomal RNA, 485 nt
Filed under: uncultured bacterium
Lineage: Bacteria
Description: partial 16S ribosomal RNA
Rfam family: Bacterial small subunit ribosomal RNA
Source: RNAcentral